Molecule: long non-coding RNA, 112 nt
Organism: Lepidothrix coronata (blue-crowned manakin)
Lineage: Eukaryota; Metazoa; Chordata; Aves; Passeriformes; Pipridae
Exons: 3
Source: RefSeq, a predicted model, not a curated record
UCAGAGUUCUAUCAGUCUGAUGAACUGGUAGAUGAUGUGGCAGGGAGCAGUUUUAGGGAGAGUAACUCACCUUGUGGAAGCAUGACGAGAUAUAUGAGAAAUGCAACCUUCA